Molecule: non-coding RNA, 3632 nt
Organism: Equus caballus (horse)
Lineage: Eukaryota; Metazoa; Chordata; Mammalia; Perissodactyla; Equidae
Source: RefSeq, a predicted model, not a curated record
GAUCUCAUCUCGAGAUCCUUAAUUACAUCCACAAAGACCCUAUUUCCAAAUAAGGUCACAUUCACAGAUUCUGGGUAGACAUAUCUUUUGGAGGACCACCAUUCAACCCGCUACAUGCAAGAUCUGCCUGACACUAGAGACAGCCAGCAUUUGCUGAGUGCCUACUGUGUGCCAAGCACUCAAUGCGCACAUCAGCCCAUGAGGGAGGGACUGCGCUGAUCAUUCUCAGAAGGCGAGGACGCAACUGAAGGAGCUUGCCGAAGGCCCUACCACCUGGCGAGGAAUGAUGGAACCAGGACUCAGACCCAGAGUGACUGUGUUAGGGUUUGGACUUCUGAACCACUCCUCCCUGCUUCCUGCCACAAAGCCUGGGCCCUUAUCCCUGGGCCCUGCUGGGCAGGCCGGCUGCCCAGGGCACCAGUCUGCCCCAUCCCUGAGGAAGCAGGAAUGAGUCAGAAAGUGGGUGGGACUGUUAAAUCCCUCUCCUUAGUUGGCCCUGGCUCCCACAGCAGGAGCUUUACCAUUGGUAAAAUACUCAAGUCCUUCCAGACAGUGUAGCUCCUGACCCCACCUAGUUGUGGGCCUGGGAAGGGCAGCUGCUUGUGCUGGUAGGUCUGUCUGCCAGAGGAGCCUCCCCAGCCUAGAGGGAGCAGGCCCUGAGGAGCAUCUCAGAGGGAAGGUGGCGCGCUGGGAGCUUGUCUCCCGGGAGCACACCUGGCAGACCCCUCUCCCACGGCCACUCAGGCAUGAGCAUGUCAUGCUGUUUCCAAACAGAUCAUCAGCCCAGUUCCCAAGGCAGUGCUGUCGCGUGGGUGUGAUCACCCCCCUAUUUGCAGUCAGGGUUUUCAUUGCUGGCUUCCACACUCUGCAGAAUGGAUUUCACCUGUUGGAUGAGCCCCACCCAUCUCACUUCAUCUCACCUCACAGGUCACCCUGGAGCUUUAAUCCAGUGGUUCUCAAAGUGUGGGCCCUGGGCCAGCAGCAUCAGCAGCAUCAGGAAACCUGCACUCCAGACCUACCGAAUCAGAGACUCUGGGGUUGGGCCCAGCAGUCAGGGUGAUUCUGAUGUCCUUCUAACGUGGGGCUCUGCCUGGUUCACAGUAACCGCUCUGAGCCAGCGGUUCUCAAACUCAGCUGCACGCUGGAAUCACCUGAGGGCUCUAAAAAUACAGAUGCUCAGGCCACACCCAGACCAGCUGAAUCAGACUCUCGGGGGAUGGACAUCAGCAGCUUCCACAGCUCCUGGGUGAUGCCCGUGUGCAGCCAGGACAGACGCCCAUGCUCUAGGCCUCACUGUUACUUCUGUAAGAUGAUAACAGCUGAGCUACCCCAAGGCAUCUUAUCAGGAUCAUUUCCCUUCUGUGACCACGAGCUUGAACCCUGGAUAAAGGGGAGAGGGUUGGUUCUCAAGCUCGGACAGCAUAAACAAAUUUUAUUAUAACAGCAGCAAGAGAUAUGUGCAUUAAAGAAAAGGGAGCUCCUUCGUGCCUCCUCCUCUAUUUGGGUGAAAGGGCAUAACCUGCCACUUUCCACUCCGGCUUUCUCUUCGGUGGGGGUGGCGGUGGGGAACUCCACCUCAGGAUGGGGUCUGAUUUGCAGCCGGUCAGUCGGGGCUGACCCCCCGGGUCUGAGGCCUUGUCUGCCCCCGCCCUGGCUUGCCCACGCCUCUCUGUUUCUCUGGCAGCUCUGUGUGGUUUCUGUAUUGCUUCUGGAGACCACCCUGUUCAUGGCUCUGUUCUGCAGGAUGGGGACUGGCAGAGAAGGGGGGUGCCUGACCGCUACUCACGGAAGUGCCUUGACGUCCAUGUGUCUCAGCUCAUCCCCACGUGACCCCACAAGGUUCUCCACGCUGACUUUCUGAAAAAAGAGAAUGCUAUUUCUCACUACACGUUGGCGUUCCAGACAUCAAACGCGUGGUCCAACGAGGACAGGAGGACAUACGCUACCGCUUCCCAAGGGAGAGCACCUCGCCCUCCUUCUCCGAGGGAGGAACAGGCGUAGGACCUCCUCGACUGUGCUGGUGGAGAUUACGAUGGGAACACUGCCUUCAGCCAAGAUGAAAUAAGCACCUACUCUGUGCUGUGCUGCGGGCCACCUGCUCCACCCGGUGGACUAGGACCUCACUGUCCCCAACUUCAGUGACUGUAUCGUGCCCUGGGUACAUGCGCAUUCCUCUCACAAACAUUUGCUGAACAUCUACGUAUAUGACCCUGCAUCACUCAGCAAAUAUUCGUAGAGUACCUAUUAUGUGCCAGGAACCAUCCCAGGCUCUGGGAAUCCAGCGGAAAGCAGUCCCUGGCCUCCUAGAGCUGCUCGUUCUAGUAGAGGGAGAAAAACAGUGAGCCAACAAGAGGAGGAGAUGAUAGGCAGGGGCACCAGCACUGAAGGAAGCAAAACAAGAGAGCCCUCCGGCCAGGCAGACAACAGCGUCUGGAGGGGCCGGUGCCCCUGGGGUCAGCAGGGCUGCCCUGGGAGGAGGCCUCCCCGCUGAGACCCAUACCCCAUGCAGGAACCACCAGGUGAGGACCUGAGAGCAGGAGGCCAGGGGCACAGCAAGUGCAAGGGUCCCCAAAUAGGCAACAUCCGCCACCGGUAUUGUCACCAGCCGGCUCUCUGGGGACCAGAGACUGGUCACUGCAGGGAGGUGGGAGGAGGGUGGGCAGGCUGGAGAAGCUGUGAGGAGGGCCAUGUGCAGGCCACGGAAAGGGGCUGGAUUUGGUUCCAGGAGCAAUGGGAGUCCCCGGAGGUCUUGACACAACCUGGUCGACGUUUGUGAAGAAGGUCCUCUGACGGCCGGCGAGGUUGGCGGUGGAGUCCGCCUCUUCCCGUGAGAGAAGCCAAGGUGGAGCCGGCUGCCCUGCAAACCUCUUGUCCACUUCAGGCCCGUUGAAACCACCAACUCAUCAAUUGAGCCCGCGCAGAUGUCUGAUAGGCGACCUUUUGACGUCAAGAGGCUAAAACCUCCACCCUCAGAUCGUGCUAGCGCCGCCAUUUUGUGAGCAUGGGUCCCAUGACGAGGCGUGGAGUCGGACUACUUGCGCAGAUCGUCAAUUACCUCACCUCCAAUCACCUCUCUCCACGUUUCAGACCACCUUGCCCCUACCCCAUAAAUAUCCCUGAGUGCCUAUUUUCGAGGAAGCGGGUUUGAGGCUCAUGCUCUCGCUUCGUCGCAUGGCUGCCUUGUGAGUAAACCCUGUGUCUGCUGCAAUCUCGUCAUCUCGGUGUUGACUUUCUGGGCGGUGGGCAAAAACGAACCUGGUUCGGCAACAAUUGCGUCGGAUUACUUUAGAAGCAGAAUCUGCAGCUGGAAAUGAGAGAAUUGGGCCAACUGCUGGCCUGUGGGUUCUUCCUCCCUCUCCUUCCUGUCCAGAUCCCAGACUCCCAGCCCUGAUUUUGCAGCAUUUGAGUGUUUUUUGGGUGUCAUGAAAAUCUCUCCAGGAAAAGGCCUUUGAAUUCAUUUUCCUUACAUCUGGUUUUUGUGCUAAGCCUGGUGGGAAGGUUGGCUUCAUGGUUACACCCCUGUGGCAGAAAUAGGGUGGAGGAGGGAGCUGCAUUUCUUCAUUCAAUCAAGUAUUAUUUUAAAGUUUUUUAUUGGUGUCUAACACAAAUAAAGGAUGCAAAUCUUAAGUGUA